RNAcentral lists this ribosomal RNA (472 nucleotides) under uncultured bacterium. RNAcentral's name for it is "bacterial SSU rRNA". It matches the Rfam family "Bacterial small subunit ribosomal RNA", at positions 10 to 507 of the family's 1533-position model. The record is from RNAcentral.
AGUUUGACUCCUGGCUCAGGACGAACGCUGGCGGCAUGCCUAACACAUGCAAGUCUAGGGUGUAGCAAUACACACUGGCGCACGGGUGAGUAACGCGUAGAUCAUCUGCCCCUAUCACCGACAUAACUCUUGGAAACGGGAGCUAAUAUCGGAUGAGGUGAGCAAUCAUCAAAGUUUCGACGGAUAGGGAUGAGUCUGCGUCUGAUUAGGUAGUUGGUGAGGUAAUGGCUCACCAAGCCUACGAUCAGUAGCUGGUCUGAGAGGACGAACAGCCACACUGGAACUGAGACACGGUCCAGACUCCUACGGGAGGCAGCAGUGAGGAAUAUUGGACAAUGGGAGCAAUCCUGAUCCAGCAAUGCCGCGUGUGGGAUGACAGGGCUUCGCCUUGUAAACCACUGUCGGACGGGACGAAAGGAGGCCUCGGGCCUCUGGGACGGUACCGUCAAAGGAAGGGUCGGCUAACUACGUG